CAGCCGCCGCGGUAAUACAGAGGGUGCGAGCGUUAAUCGGAUUUACUGGGCGUAAAGCGUGCGUAGGCGGCUUCUUAAGUCGGAUGUGAAAUCCCUGAGCUUAACUUAGGAAUUGCAUUCGAUACUGGGAAGCUAGAGUAUGGGAGAGGAUGGUAGAAUUCUAGGUGUAGCGGUGAAAUGCGUAGAGAUCUGGAGGAAUACCGAUGGCGAAGGCAGCCAUCUGGCCUAAUACUGACGCUGAGGUACGAAAGCAUGGGGAGCAAACAGGAUUAGAUACCCGUGUAGUCCCUGUCUCUUAUAC
Molecule: ribosomal RNA, 301 nt
Filed under: uncultured bacterium
Lineage: Bacteria
Description: partial 16S ribosomal RNA
Rfam family: Bacterial small subunit ribosomal RNA
Source: RNAcentral